RNAcentral lists this ribosomal RNA (482 nucleotides) under uncultured bacterium. RNAcentral describes it as "bacterial SSU rRNA". It matches the Rfam family "Bacterial small subunit ribosomal RNA", at positions 33 to 507 of the family's 1533-position model. The record is from RNAcentral.
ACACGCUGGCGGCGUGCCUAAUACAUGCAAGUCGAACGGGAUUCUUUGAUCAGCUUGCUGAGAGAAGGAUCUAGUGGCGGACGGGUGAGUAACGCGUGGGAAUCUGCCUCUUACUGGGGGAUAACAGUGGGAAACUACUGCUAAUACCGCAUAAGAUCUUCGGAUGAAAGGUGCAACUGCACCGGUAAGAGAUGAGCCCGCGUCCCAUUAGCUAGUUGGUGAGGUAAAGGCUCACCAAGGCGACGAUGGGUAGCCGGCCUGAGAGGGUGAACGGCCACACUGGGACUGAGACACGGCCCAGACUCCUACGGGAGGCAGCAGUAGGGAAUCUUCCGCAAUGGGCGCAAGCCUGACGGAGCGACGCCGCGUGAGUGAUGAAGGCCUUCGGGUCGUAAAGCUCUGUUCUUGAGGACGAAUAAGCCAGGGAGUGGAAAGCCCUGGUGAUGACUGUACUCAAGGAGAAAGCUCCGGCUAACUACGUG